UGGGGAAUAUUGCACAAUGGGCGCAAGCCUGAUGCAGCCAUGCCGCGUGUAUGAAGAAGGCCUUCGGGUUGUAAAGUACUUUCUGCGGGGAGGAAGGGAGUAAAGUUAAUACCUUUGCUCAUUGACGUUACCCGCAGAAGAAGCACCGUCUAACUCCGUGCCAGCAGCCGCGGUAAUACGGAGGGUGCAAGCGUUAAUCGGAAUUACUGGGCGUAAAGCGUACGCAGGCGGUUUGUUAAGUCAGAUGUGAAAUCCCCGGGCUCAACCUGGGAACUGCAUCUGAUACUGGCAAGCUUGAGUCUCGUAGAGGGGGGUAGAAUUCCAGGUGUAGCGGUGAAAUGCGUAGAGAUCUGGAGGAAUACCGGUGGCGAAGGCGGCCCCCUGGACGAAGACUGACGCUCAGGUGCGAAAGCGUGGGGAGCAAACAGG
This 429-nucleotide ribosomal RNA is filed under the name Fusobacteriota bacterium. RNAcentral's name for it is "Fusobacteria bacterium partial 16S ribosomal RNA". It matches the Rfam family "Bacterial small subunit ribosomal RNA", at positions 355 to 776 of the family's 1533-position model. Lineage: Bacteria; Fusobacteriati; Fusobacteriota. The record is from RNAcentral.